UAUAAUUGUCAGCUAAGUGGCGCACGGGUGAGUAAUGUAUAGAUAACCUGCCCUUAAGAAAGGAAUAACAGUUGGAAACGACUGCUAAUGCCCUAUAUGCCUUUAAUACAUAAGUAUGCAAGGGAAACGCCUUAGUGCUUAAGGAUGGGUCUGUAUGGUAUCAGCUUGUUGGUGAGGUAAUGGCUCACCAAGGCUAUGACGCCUAACUGGUUUGAGAGGAUGAUCAGUCACACUGGAACUGAGACACGGUCCAGACUCCUACGGGAGGCAGCAGUGGGGAAUAUUGCACAAUGGACGAAAGUCUGAUGCAGCAACGCCGCGUGGAGGAUGACACAUUUCGGUGCGUAAACUCCUUUUAUAUAGGAAGAUAAUGACGGUACUAUAUGAAUAAGCACCGGCUAACUCCGUGCCAGCAGCCGCGGUAAUACGGAGGGUGCAAGCGUUACUCGGAAUCACUGGGCGUAAAGAGCGUGUAGGCGGGUAUAUAAGUCAGAAGUGAAAUCCAAUAGCUCAACUAUUGAACUGCUUUUGAAACUGUAUACCUAGAAUGUGGGAGAGGUAGAUGGAAUUUCUGGUGUAGGGGUAAAAUCCGUAGAGAUCAGAAGGAAUACCGAUUGCGAAGGCGAUCUACUGGAACAUUAUUGACGCUGAGACGCGAAAGCGUGGGGAGCAAACAGGAUUAGAUACCCUGGUAGUCCACGCCCUAAACGAUGUACACUAGUUGUUGUGAGGCUCGACCUUGCAGUAAUGCAGUUAACACAUUAAGUGUACCGCCUGGGGAGUACGGUCGCAAGAUUAAA
This 800-nucleotide ribosomal RNA is filed under the name uncultured bacterium. RNAcentral describes it as "bacterial SSU rRNA". It matches the Rfam family "Bacterial small subunit ribosomal RNA", at positions 79 to 898 of the family's 1533-position model. The record is from RNAcentral.